GGUGAGUACUGCUUCGGCCGGGUCUUUCCUUCUGGCUAGCCAUUUGGCGAACCAGACGAUACUUUGAGGAAAUUAGAGUGUUCAAAGCAGCCUUUGCUCGGAUAUAUUAGCAUGGAAUAUAGAUAGACGUAUGGUUCUAUUUUGUUGGUUUCUAGGACCAUCGUAAUGAUCAUAGGGACGGUCGGGGGCAUCAGUAUUCAGUGUCAGAGGUGAAAUUCUUGGAUUAACUGAAGACUAACUACUGCGAAAGCAUUUGCCAAGGACGUUUUCAUUAAUCAAGAACGAAAGUUAGGGGAUCGAAGAUGAUCAGAUACCGUCGUAGUCUUAACCAUAAACUAUGCCGACUAGGGAUCGGGUGGCGCUAUUUUGCCCACUCGGCACCUUACGAGAAAUCAAAGUUUUUGGGUUCUGGGGGGAGUAUGGUCGCAAGGCUGAAACUUAAAGGAAUUGACGGAAGGGCACCACCAGGAGUGGAGCCUGCGGCUUAAUUUGACUCAACACGGGGAAACUCACCAGGUCCAGACGUAAUAAGGAUUGACAAGUUAGAGACUUCUCUUGAUCUUACGGGUGGUGGUGCAUGGCCGUUUUUAGUCCUUGGAGUGAUUUGUCUGCUUAAUUGCGAUAACGGACGAGACCUUAACCUGCUAAAUAGGGCUGCGAGCAUCUGCUCGUGGGCUCUUCUUAGAGGGACUAUGGG
Molecule: ribosomal RNA, 697 nt
Filed under: uncultured eukaryote
Lineage: Eukaryota
Description: SSU rRNA
Rfam family: Eukaryotic small subunit ribosomal RNA
Source: RNAcentral